AGGACGAACGCUGGCGGCGUGCUUAACACAUGCAAGUCGAGCGGAAAGGCCCUUCGGGGUACUCGAGCGGCGAACGGGUGAGUAACACGUGAGCAACCUGCCCCUUAGCUUCGGGAUAGCUCCGGGAAACCCGGAAUUAAUACCGAAUAUGACUGCGGCUGACAUCAGCCACGGGUGGAAAAGUUUUUCGGCUAGGGAUGGACUCGCGGCCUAUCAGCUAGUUGGUGAGGUAACGGCCCACCAAGGCGACGACGGGUA
This 258-nucleotide ribosomal RNA is filed under the name uncultured bacterium. Its description in RNAcentral is "partial small subunit ribosomal RNA". It matches the Rfam family "Bacterial small subunit ribosomal RNA", at positions 26 to 285 of the family's 1533-position model. The record is from RNAcentral.